AGUGAACGCUGGCGGUAGGCCUAACACAUGCAAGUCGAGCGGUAGAGUUCCUUCGGGAACUUGAGAGCGGCGUACGGGUGCGUAACACGUGUGCAACCUACCUUUGUCUGGGGGAUAGCCUUUCGAAAGGAAGAUUAAUACCCCAUAAUAUAUUGAAUGGCAUCAUUUAAUAUUGAAAACUCUGGUGGAUAGAGAUGGGCACGCGCAAGAUUAGAUAGUUGGUGAGGUAACGGCUCACCAAGUCUGUGAUCUUUAGGGGUCCUGAGAGGGAGAUCCCCCACACUGGUACUGAGACACGGACCAGACUCCUACGGGAGGCAGCAGUGAGGAAUAUUGGACAAUGGGUGAGAGCCUGAUCCAGCCAUCCCGCGUGAAGGAUGACGGUCCUAUGGAUUGUAAACUUCUUUUGUACAGGAAUAAACCUAUUUACGUGUAAAUAGCUGAAGGUACUGUACGAAUAAGCACCGGCUAACUUCGUGCCAGCAGCCGCCGUAA
Molecule: ribosomal RNA, 495 nt
Filed under: uncultured bacterium
Lineage: Bacteria
Description: partial 16S ribosomal RNA
Rfam family: Bacterial small subunit ribosomal RNA
Source: RNAcentral